Molecule: ribosomal RNA, 497 nt
Filed under: uncultured bacterium
Lineage: Bacteria
Description: partial 16S ribosomal RNA
Rfam family: Bacterial small subunit ribosomal RNA
Source: RNAcentral
GAUGAACGCUGGCGGCGUGCCUAAUACAUGCAAGUCGAGCGAACGGACGAGAAGCUUGCUUCUCUGAUGUUAGCGGCGGGCGGGUGAGUAACACGUGGAUAACCUACCUAUAAGACUGGGAUAACUUCGGGAAACCGGAGCUAAUACCGGAUAAUAUUUUGAACCGCAUGGUUCAAAAGUGAAAGACGGUCUUGCUGUCACUUAUAGAUGGAUCCGCGCUGCAUUAGCUAGUUGGUAAGGUAACGGCUUACCAAGGCAACGAUGCAUAGCCGACCUGAGAGGAUGAUCGGCCACACUGGAACUGAGACACGGUCCAGACUCCUACGGGAGGCAGCAGUAGGGAAUCUUCCGCAAUGGGCGAAAGCCUGACGGAGCAACGCCGCGUGAGUGAUGAAGGUCUUCGGAUCGUAAAACUCUGUUAUUAGGGAAGAACAUAUGUGUAAGUAACUGUGCACAUCUUGACGGUACCUAAUCAGAAAGCCACGGCUAACUACGUG